GCCGAGGUGGCGAAAUGGUAUACGCAAGAGACUUAAAAUCUCUCGACUAACAAGUCAUGCGGGUUCGAGCCCCGCCCUCGGCA
RNAcentral lists this transfer RNA (83 nucleotides) under Candidatus Moraniibacteriota bacterium. RNAcentral describes it as "Candidatus Moranbacteria bacterium tRNA-Leu". It matches the Rfam family "tRNA". From Rfam's summary of the family: Transfer RNA (tRNA) molecules are approximately 80 nucleotides in length. Their secondary structure includes four short double-helical elements and three loops (D, anti-codon, and T loops). The record is from RNAcentral. Lineage: Bacteria; Candidatus Moraniibacteriota.